UGAAAACAUUUUCUAUUUUCAUUUUUUAAAAUUUGAGUUAGUUUUACUUGUUAACGAGAGACUCUCUAAUUGAACAAAUUUCAAUAUUUCAUGAAGUGUGUCAUCCUUAAUUAGCACUUUGUCUUCUUUACUCUCGUUAAAAGUCUCUUUUAUCCAUUAUUAACAAAUAAUACUAAUACAAAUUUUAAGUAAUGAAAUAGAAGGUCUUUUCACAAAAAUGUAUUUAUCAUUUCGUAACUAAAAAAAAUAGAGGUCAUUGUAGCUAAUUGAGCAAUAUUGAUUUGGUUAACAGGGCAGUUAUAUUAUAAGACCUGUGACACUAAGAUGCCUACAUGUUUUUCCUAUAUCAAAUUCAAAAUUC
This 361-nucleotide long non-coding RNA is filed under the name Medicago truncatula (barrel medic). RNAcentral describes it as "long non-coding RNA (MTRU_LNC005770)". The record is from RNAcentral. Lineage: Eukaryota; Viridiplantae; Streptophyta; Magnoliopsida; Fabales; Fabaceae.